Molecule: ribosomal RNA, 496 nt
Filed under: uncultured bacterium
Lineage: Bacteria
Description: partial 16S ribosomal RNA
Rfam family: Bacterial small subunit ribosomal RNA
Source: RNAcentral
GAUGAACGCUGGCGGCGUGCCUAAUACAUGCAAGUCGAGCGCACGGAGGUGGAACUUGUAUCAAUGAUGUUAGCGGCGGACGGGUGAGUAACACGUGGAUAAUCUACCUAUAAGCCUGGGAUAACUUCGGGAAACCGAUGCUAAUACCGGAUAAUAUCUUGAACCACAUGGUUCAAAAGUGAAAGAUGGUAUUGCUGUCACCUAUAGAUGGAUCCGCUCUGCUUUAGCAAGUUGGUAAGUAAACGGCUUACCAAGGCAACGAUGCAUAGCCGACCUGAGAGGGUGCUCGGCCACGCGGGAGCUGAGACACGGCCCAGACUCCUACGGGAGGCAGCAGUAGAGAAUCUGGCGCAAUGGGCGAAAGCCUGAGGGAGCAGCGCCGCGAGAGUGAAGAAGGUCUUCGGCGCGUAAAACCCUGUUAUGAGGGAAAAACAUAUGUGUAAGGAAAGGUGCACAUCUUGACGUUACCUAAUCAAAAAGCCACGCCUAACUACUU